GGAGGGUUGCGAGAGCGGCCGAAUCGGCACGCUUGGAAAGCGUGUGUGGGGAGACCCACCGUGGGUUCGAAUCCCACACCCUCCGCCA
RNAcentral lists this transfer RNA (88 nucleotides) under Iamia majanohamensis. RNAcentral's name for it is "tRNA-Ser". It matches the Rfam family "tRNA". From Rfam's summary of the family: Transfer RNA (tRNA) molecules are approximately 80 nucleotides in length. Their secondary structure includes four short double-helical elements and three loops (D, anti-codon, and T loops). The record is from RNAcentral. RNAcentral also lists the same sequence under 2 other names. Lineage: Bacteria; Bacillati; Actinomycetota; Acidimicrobiia; Acidimicrobiales; Iamiaceae.